ACCUGGCUGGCUUAGGGGUAAGAACAUGUGACUCUUGAUCUCGGGGUCAUGAGUUCAAGUCCCAUGUUGGGUA
Molecule: transfer RNA, 73 nt
Filed under: Canis lupus familiaris (dog)
Lineage: Eukaryota; Metazoa; Chordata; Mammalia; Carnivora; Canidae
Also listed under: 1 other name
Rfam family: tRNA
About the family: Transfer RNA (tRNA) molecules are approximately 80 nucleotides in length. Their secondary structure includes four short double-helical elements and three loops (D, anti-codon, and T loops). Further hydrogen bonds mediate the characteristic L-shaped molecular structure. tRNAs have two regions of fundamental functional importance: the anti-codon, which is responsible for specific mRNA codon recognition, and the 3' end, to which the tRNAs corresponding amino acid is attached (by aminoacyl-tRNA synthetases). tRNAs cope with the degeneracy of the genetic code in two manners: having more than one tRNA (with a specific anti-codon) for a particular amino acid; and 'wobble' base-pairing, i.e. permitting non-standard base-pairing at the 3rd anti-codon position.
Source: Rfam by way of RNAcentral